GUUGUAUAGUCAAGUAAUUAAGUGCAUGUGGUGGAUGCCUUGGCAGUCAGAGGCGAUGAAAGACGUGAUAGCCUGCGAAAAGCUCCGGGGAGGCGGCAAAUAUCCUUUGAUCCGGAGAUGUCUGAAUGGGGGAACCCACCUACUUUAAGGUAGGUAUUGCAACAUGAAUACAUAGUGUUGCAAGGCGAACGAGGGGAAGUGAAACAUCUCAGUACCCUUAGGAAAAGAAAUCAAUUGAGAUUCCCUCAGUAGCGGCGAGCGAACGGGGAUCAGCCCAUUAAGUUAUGUGUGUUUUAGUGGAACGCUCUGGGAAGUGCGAACGUAGAGGGUGAUAUUCCCGUACACGAAAGGGCACACAUAAUGAUGACGAGUAGGGCGAGGCACGUGAAACCUUGUCUGAAUAUGGGGGGACCAUCCUCCAAGGCUAAAUACUCCUGACUGACCGAUAGUGAACCAGUACCGUGAGGGAAAGGCGAAAAGAACCCCUGUGAGGGGAGUGAAAUAGAUCCUGAAACCGCAUGCAUACAAGCAGUGGGAGCACCUUCGUGGUGUGACUGCGUACCUUUUGUAUAAUGGGUCAGCGACUUAUAUUCAGUAGCGAGGUUAACCGUAUAGGGGAGCCGUAGAGAAAUCGAGUCUUAAUAGGGCGUUUAGUUGCUGGGUAUAGACCCGAAACCAGGCGAUCUAUCCAUGAGCAGGUUGAAGGUUGGGUAACACUAACUGGAGGACCGAACCCACUGUCGUUGAAAAGCCAGGGGAUGACUUGUGGAUAGGGGUGAAAGGCUAAUCAAGCCUGGUGAUAGCUGGUUCUCCCCGAAAGCUAUUUAGGUAGCGCCUCGGACGAAUACCAUAGGGGGUAGAGCACUGUUUCGGCUAGGGGGUCAUCCCGACUUACCAAACCGAUGCAAACUCCGAAUACCUAUGAGUACUAUCCGGGAGACAGACUGCGGGUGCUAACGUCCGUAGUCAAGAGGAAAACAAUCCAGACCGCCAGCUAAGGCCCCAAAAUCAUAGUUAAGUGGGAAACGAUGUGGGAAGGCAUAGACAGCUAGGAGGUUGGCUUAGAAGCAGCCACCCUUUAAAGAAAGCGUAAUAGCUCACUAGUCGAGUCGGCCUGCGCGGAAGAUGUAACGGGGCUAAAACUAUGUGCCGAAGCUGCGGAUNNNNNNNNNNAUGCUGGAGGUAUCAGAAGUGCGAAUGCUGACGUGAGUAACGACAAAACGGGUGAAAAACCCGUUCGCCGAAAGACCAAGGGUUCCAGUCCAACGUUAAUCGGGGCUGGGUGAGUCGACCCCUAAGGCGAGGCCGAAAGGCGUAGUCGAUGGGAAAAUGGUUAAUAUUCCAUUACUUCUGUGUAAUGCGAUGAGAGGACGGAGAAGGCUAAAUCAGCCUGGCGUUGGUUGUCCAGGUGAAAGGAUGUAGGCAUGUAUCUUAGGCAAAUCCGGGGUACUCUAUGCUGAGAUCUGAUAGCAAGCUGUACUUGUACAGCGAAGUGGUUGAUGCCAUGCUUCCAGGAAAAGUCUCUAAGCUUCAGUUACACAGGAAUCGUACCCGAAACCGACACAGGUGGUCAGGUCGAGUAGACCAAGGCGCUUGAGAGAACUCUGCUGAAGGAACUAGGCAAAAUGGUACCGUAACUUCGGGAGAAGGUACGCUGUUGUUGGUGAUGGAACUCGCUUCCUGAGCUGACGACAGCCGCAGAAACCAGGCCGCUGCAACUGUUUAUUAAAAACAUAGCACUCUGCAAACACGAAAGUGGACGUAUAGGGUGUGAUGCCUGCCCGGUGCUGGAAGGUUAAUUGAUGGGGUUAGCGUAAGCGAAGCUCUUGAUCGAAGCCCCAGUAAACGGCGGCCGUAACUAUAACGGUCCUAAGGUAGCGAAAUUCCUUGUCGGGUAAGUUCCGACCUGCACGAAUGGCAUAAUGAUGGCGGCGCUGUCUCCAGCAGAGGCUCAGUGAAAUCGAAAUCGCUGUGAAGAUGCAGUGUACCCGCGGCUAGACGGAAAGACCCCGUGAACCUUUACUGCAGCUUGACACUGAACUUUGACCUUACUUGUGUAGGAUAGGUGGGAGGCUUUGAAGCUGGAACGCUAGUUCCAGUGGAGCCGUCCUUGAAAUACCACCCUGGUAAUGUUGAGGUUCUAACUCUGUCCCGUGAUCCGGGACGAGGACCGUGUCUGGUGGGUAGUUUGACUGGGGCGGUCUCCUCCUAAAGAGUAACGGAGGAGUACGAAGGUGCGCUCAGCGUGGUCGGAAAUCACGCGUAGAGUAUAAAGGCAAAAGCGCGCUUAACUGCGAGACCCACAAGUCGAGCAGGUACGAAAGUAGGUCUUAGUGAUCCGGUGGUUCUGUAUGGAAGGGCCAUCGCUCAACGGAUAAAAGGUACUCUGGGGAUAACAGGCUGAUACCGCCCAAGAGUUCAUAUCGACGGCGGUGUUUGGCACCUCGAUGUCGGCUCAUCUCAUCCUGGGGCUGAAGCAGGUCCCAAGGGUAUGGCUGUUCGCCAUUUAAAGAGGUACGCGAGCUGGGUUUAGAACGUCGUGAGACAGUUCGGUCCCUAUCUACCGUGGGCGCUGGAAAUUUGAGAGGAUCUGCUCCUAGUACGAGAGGACCAGAGUGGACGAACCUCUGGUGUACCGGUUGUGACGCCAGUCGCAUCGCCGGGUAGCUAUGUUCGGAAGGGAUAACCGCUGAAAGCAUCUAAGCGGGAAGCCUACCUCAAGAUAAGAUUUCCCUAGGACUUUAUGUCCUCUAAAGAGCCGUUCGAGACUAGGACGUUGAUAGGUUGGAUGUGGAAGCAUAGUGAUAUGUGAAGCUGACCAAUACUAAUUGCUCGUGAGGCUUGACUAUACAACACCCAAGCAGUUG
RNAcentral lists this ribosomal RNA (2867 nucleotides) under Acinetobacter baumannii. Its description in RNAcentral is "bacterial LSU rRNA". It matches the Rfam family "Bacterial large subunit ribosomal RNA". Lineage: Bacteria; Pseudomonadati; Pseudomonadota; Gammaproteobacteria; Moraxellales; Moraxellaceae. The record is from RNAcentral.